This 174-nucleotide small nuclear RNA is filed under the name Myotis davidii. Its description in RNAcentral is "7SK RNA". It matches the Rfam family "7SK RNA", at positions 1 to 183 of the family's 331-position model. From Rfam's summary of the family: 7SK was discovered as an abundant small nuclear RNA in the mid-70s but a possible function has only recently been suggested. Lineage: Eukaryota; Metazoa; Chordata; Mammalia; Chiroptera; Vespertilionidae. The record is from Rfam by way of RNAcentral.
GGGUGCGAGGGGGAUCUGGCUGCGACAUCUGUCACCCCAUCGAGCACCAGGGUUGACUGGGCUGAUCUGGCUGUCUGGGCGGGUGUCCCCUCCUCCCUCACCGCUCCACAGGCGUCCCUCCCGAAACCGCAAGCUGGGUGCUUCAUCAAAGACAGAUGAAGGAUUCCUCUGCUC